This 373-nucleotide ribosomal RNA is filed under the name Escherichia coli. RNAcentral's name for it is "bacterial SSU rRNA". It matches the Rfam family "Bacterial small subunit ribosomal RNA", at positions 76 to 449 of the family's 1533-position model. RNAcentral also lists the same sequence under 2 other names. The record is from RNAcentral. Lineage: Bacteria; Pseudomonadati; Pseudomonadota; Gammaproteobacteria; Enterobacterales; Enterobacteriaceae.
CAGCUUGCUGUUUCGCUGACGAGUGGCGGACGGGUGAGUAAUGUCUGGGAAACUGCCUGAUGGAGGGGGAUAACUACUGGAAACGGUAGCUAAUACCGCAUAACGUCGCAAGACCAAAGAGGGGGACCUUCGGGCCUCUUGCCAUCGGAUGUGCCCAGAUGGGAUUAGCUAGUAGGUGGGGUAACGGCUCACCUAGGCGACGAUCCCUAGCUGGUCUGAGAGGAUGACCAGCCACACUGGAACUGAGACACGGUCCAGACUCCUACGGGAGGCAGCAGUGGGGAAUAUUGCACAAUGGGCGCAAGCCUGAUGCAGCCAUGCCGCGUGUAUGAAGAAGGCCUUCGGGUUGUAAAGUACUUUCAGCGGGGAGGAA